AAGUAGAGGAUGCUGCCAGUGUCACAACUAAAAUCAGGAUGAGGCACUGUAAGAGAGCAUCCGAACAGCUGAUGUUAACAGGUAUUGCCUUUAACCCCUUGAGGUCAAGGAAAUUAAGGGGACAGUGUGACUGUGGACAGGUAAAUACAGUCACAUGCAAGUAAAAAUAUUUUAUUUCGUUCCCUCUGCACUUGCCUCACCUGGCAAAUGCUCAGUCUGCAUGGAGUUUCCUAGACUGCCCCAUCCCACCUCCUCACAGUCAGAGGCCCAGUGUCUGGCUUAUAUCUUUAUAGUAAGAUAAAGAGCCAGCUCAAGAACAGAUUUAAAAUAGGCUCCAGUGAUGCUCUUGUUUGGAUCCACUUUGUAGAGCUGUUCAUUGGCUUAGCCAUGUCUUGUUUUACUGGCAGGUCUGUUGGACAGUUGCUUUGCUGAAGAGAUCCAUUCACCACACUGCAGCCCAGCAGUCUGGUGGAAGGUGUGGGAAUCAGUGUACUCCAGGCAUAGAAAAUGUCAAAGAAAAAUAAGGCAUUUCUCUGCUCAUUGUGUUUUCCUGACAGUGUUGUAAGAUGGCCACAGGAGAGUGAUGUAUCAGCAGAGAAAAUACCCACAAGAUAAAGCAGUAUAGGGCAAGUAAGGACCAAAUCCUGUUCCUGUUGAAACAAUGUCUUCUCUGCGUAUAGAAUACCAUGAUAUUUCAAAACUACAAAAAUGAAAGCCUCUGGGAACUUGGAAGGUGAAAAUCCAUGUCCAGCAUUGCAUUGCCAGCAAGCACCUAGUGUUUUCAGCUCAGUAAGAAGUAUGGUCCCAUGUUCACAAUGUAUUUGGACUUGGUACAUGCUGUGGUGCUGUAUGGACCUGAUGUUGUGAAGGAAGCUCUGAUUGAGAAAGGGGAGGAGUCCAGAGAAAGAGGACUUACACCACUCUCCCAAAAUUCUCCAAAGGAACAGGUACUUUCCUGAGAGGUUCUCACUGGGGUAGAGGUGUCCUUGUGGGAGGAUUUAACUGAGAAGUCAGAAGUGGGAAGAGCUGAUGUUUCAUUUAAUACAGGAACAAAGCCUGGCUGAACCUAGAGAGACCUUUGGUUCACUGGAACAAACAGUCUUAGUCUCUUGCUAUCAUAGAUGAUAGCUGCUGUAUCCUAUAAGAUCUGGGUUAUGACCUGAAAGCAUAUGGCUCUGGUGGUGUCCUCACCCAGCUUUCCACCCUAGGGACUAAGCAUAUCUUAAGAUAGUCAGGUCUGUUUUUGACAGGGUUCUAUUGCCUUCCCUGUCUCCCUCGUUCACCCCGAAAGAGUUGAACUAGGAACAAGGGAAGUCCAGACAAGGUGCCCCAAGGAAAGAGACCUCUCUCCUAUGUGGUAGCAAGUUAAAGAAUUUUACUUAAAACUUUAAAGAUACAGCAUAAGGACUAGGAAGAGGACAACACAAAACAGAUAUGGCACAGGAAAUCCAUGCAAUAAAAUAGUAGGAACUGUUUGCA
Molecule: long non-coding RNA, 1479 nt
Filed under: Struthio camelus australis
Lineage: Eukaryota; Metazoa; Chordata; Aves; Struthioniformes; Struthionidae
Description: lncRNA (ENSSCUG00000010519.1)
Source: RNAcentral